CAUCACAGCCACCAGCCGAAAAAAAAAGUCCCUGACCUCAAACCGAAGGCAUCCGUGGCAAAGAAAGCAUCUGAGCUGGAGAUUGUGUUCGGUUCAUGUCUUUGUUUUUUAUUUUGAAGGUUGGGUGGGAUUAAUGAGAGUUACGAGGCUUUAAAGAGAUAUAUAGGCACACAAACGUUGAUGCCUUUUUAAAGGCUAUGAAAGUUGGAAGCUGGUCUUUGUUGACUUUUUGUAUCAUUCUUUUCUAGAUGUGAUAAUCAUAACUCUCAUAUAUAUCAACUUUAAGGUUUUUUAUAAGGACAUGGUUAUAAUAUGAAAAGUUUUUGGAGAGAAAUCCCCAUUUUCAGUAAAACAAAAGUUUUGCAUAAACGUAUCCGAAUACACACAUACAUUUUACUUCUCGG
This is a long non-coding RNA of Arabidopsis thaliana (thale cress), 404 nucleotides long. RefSeq annotates it as other RNA. The record is from RefSeq. NCBI's taxonomy places the organism in Eukaryota, Viridiplantae, Streptophyta, Magnoliopsida, Brassicales, Brassicaceae. The transcript has a single exon.